RNAcentral lists this ribosomal RNA (534 nucleotides) under uncultured bacterium. Its description in RNAcentral is "partial 16S ribosomal RNA". It matches the Rfam family "Bacterial small subunit ribosomal RNA", at positions 355 to 883 of the family's 1533-position model. The record is from RNAcentral.
UGGGGAAUUUUGGACAAUGGGCGAAAGCCUGAUCCAGCAAUGCCGCGUGUGUGAAGAAGGCCUUCGGGUUGUAAAGCACUUUUGUCCGGAAAGAAAUCCUUGGCUCUAAUACAGUCGGGGGAUGACGGUACCGGAAGAAUAAGCACCGGCUAACUACGUGCCAGCAGCCGCGGUAAUACGUAGGGUGCAAGCGUUAAUCGGAAUUACUGGGCGUAAAGCGUGCGCAGGCGGUUUGCUAAGACCGAUGUGAAAUCCCCGGGCUCAACCUGGGAACUGCAUUGGUGACUGGCAGGCUAGAGUAUGGCAGAGGGGGGUAGAAUUCCACGUGUAGCAGUGAAAUGCGUAGAGAUGUGGAGGAAUACCGAUGGCGAAGGCAGCCCCCUGGGCCAAUACUGACGCUCAUGCACGAAAGCGUGGGGAGCAAACAGGAUUAGAUACCCUGGUAGUCCACGCCCUAAACGAUGUCAACUAGUUGUUGGGGAUUCAUUUCCUUAGUAACGUAGCAACGCGUGAAGUUGACCGCCUGGGGAGUAC